RNAcentral lists this ribosomal RNA (408 nucleotides) under Triticum aestivum (bread wheat). Its description in RNAcentral is "partial small subunit ribosomal RNA". Lineage: Eukaryota; Viridiplantae; Streptophyta; Magnoliopsida; Poales; Poaceae. The record is from RNAcentral.
AUGGAAUGGCAUGAACCAGCAUCCACCGAUUUACAUCACAAAACCCAACAGAACGGAACCUCUGAUAUCAUCAUCAUCCUCGUCACACAAGUUCAGGUAAGAAGAUACACAGUUGCACCUAAUGUACAUGCAUCAAGCACAGAGGGUGCUCGGUUUCUCGGCCGAAGAGCUCGAAAGGCCACCUUAAAACCUCUCCAUGGUACCGACCACCGGCUGUGCCUCCACACGCUGCCUCUUCUCAGAAAGAUAGGGACCCCUUCUGACCGCCUCAUUCAGCUGCAGCAAGAGGCAUUUGUUUCCUCGGUCAACAGUCACGCUUCAAACGACAAGAACCAGCGGAUGCAAGAACCGGGGACAUACCUUUCCAAUGAGUUCAGAAAGGCUCGGUUCAUGAAGAAGGUGCGAUGA